AAACCAUGGUGUGGGCAUUGAGCUUGGUAGCCCUUGAAUCUCUCCCAGGCUUCACUGAAGCCUUCCAAGUUCUUCUGCUGAAAGCUAGAAAUUUCAUUUCUCAGCAU
This 107-nucleotide small nucleolar RNA is filed under the name Brassica carinata (Ethiopian mustard). RNAcentral's name for it is "Plant small nucleolar RNA R71". It matches the Rfam family "Plant small nucleolar RNA R71". From Rfam's summary of the family: R71 is a member of the C/D box family of snoRNAs containing the C (UGAUGA) and D (CUGA) box motifs. Multiple nearly identical copies of this snoRNA have been identified in Arabidopsis, and it is thought to function as a 2'-O-ribose methylation guide for 18S ribosomal RNA. The record is from Rfam by way of RNAcentral. Lineage: Eukaryota; Viridiplantae; Streptophyta; Magnoliopsida; Brassicales; Brassicaceae. RNAcentral also lists the same sequence under 1 other name.